GGUAGGGUGUCGUAUCCUAUUCUGUAGGGUUUACUGUACGCGGGUUUAAGUAUAGCCACUCAUUCAUACAUAUGGACGUACAUAUGUAAAUUUAUAGGGUACUAAAUCACCUGAUAGGGCAAUCGAAAGCCUGCCGAUAAAGCUUUUGAAAAUUGAUUAUUUUCUAUGUACAUACAUAUGCACAUUUACGAAGUGUAUUGUGGGUGAGUUGGAGACUCGAGGAGGCAGUGCUAAUAGUUUGUUUACUUUAGAGUAAAGAGAGAGAGAGAGUGAGAGAGAGCGCUGCUGUCGUGAGAACAGGGUAGAUAGCACCUGCAAUCUUGCAUUCCUAGACAUUUCUGUGCAUCUAUGUACAUAUGUAUGUAUGUUUUUAUUAACAGAGAUAUGCACAUUGUGUAAGCUGCACAUAUUAUCAUUUCGAUCAUAUGGGGUAUCGAACAAACUCGCUCUCACUCAACUAAGAGAAAUAUUAAAUACGCACAACAAGGUUCAACACUGGUGAGGCGAGUAUCUCGUUUUUACCGCGGAAAGUAGAAAAUUAGCUUAUUUCGUGAAAUAGAGCCUAAACUCGCUUAUAAUAAGCAAAAACCCGAUCACCCGUGGUUACCCCACAUCCUGAUAAAGACGGCGGGACAAAAGUGGCAGUAGAUCCGCAUUUUUACCGGAUAACCUUGCCUCUCGGCAAUGGCGGCCCAGCAAAGCCAGUAACACGGAAGCUAGUGCAGCGUAAUCCGGAACCAUGGCUGGCAUAGGAAGGACCAGGAUGGGCACGGAGAAGGCCACAGGAUCAAGGAUCCUAGUGGAGACGCGAAAAAAGAGGGAAGGAGACCGGGCGGGAAAAACAACAGCUACGACGUUAAAAACCACCUUGAAAGAGAAAGAGACGAAAAACAAAACUACCAAAACAAUUACAAGUGAGAAAGGGAAAGCGGAUGUGGAUGUUUGUCAGACGUCCGUGAGUACAAGAUCAACAACGACAACUAACAACAACAACAACAAAAACAACAACAACAAAAACGUCAACAACAAAUACUACGAGGGCCACAAAGGCCCUUUUGUAGUGUAUAUAGAUAAACUAAGCGAUAAUAAUUCCAGGAUCGCAAUUAACCAGUUCGAGCUAUCCGAACUUUUGAUAAAACUGGGACUUGGCGGUAUAGAGGAGGUCGCGAGGGUAGGCUAUGGCAGGUGCAAGAUUUUAUGUAGGUCGGCUGACGGUGCAAACAAACUUGUGGAAAACAGUGCCUUCGCCGCCCACGGGUACUCUCCCCGGAUUUUGCGGCACUUUGUGCAAAGGGCGGGUCUAAUCUUUGGGAUCCCUGGCCACCACUCGGAGGAGCAGCUCUCGGAGCUGAUCAUCUCGGACGUCCCCAUAGAGGGAAUACAACGGAUUUCCAGAACAGACAGAACCUCGGGGGAUAGGGUACCCACCGGCAGGGUCAAACUAUGGUUUAGAGGGGAGCAGCUGCCCAAGGAAAUCAAGUUCCUAUACACCCAGGUAGCAGUAAAACCUUUCGUCCAGUUUAGCCAAUGCUUCAAGCUAAGGCAGCUGCCAACAUGGCAGAAUGGAGGAACUCUAUCAACGCAGAUAGCCCUCAGUUAAGUGAAAAAUUCGUGAGAACAACGUCCGGGGUCUCAUCUGUGGCCCAGGAAAAGCUUAACGCACUGGGAUCCAUGCUUACAGCGUUCCUGGUGGAACCCAUUGGUGGAACAUUUCCAAGGGGGAAUUGGUGAAGAAGUUUUUCCAACAGAUCUUGGAGUAUGUGUAUGACUCCUCCAAUGCUGAACUCGACCCAGGUUUUGCAAAUUGUGCAAGGGGUGGAAGCGGGAUACUCUAACAAAAAACAAUGAAGAUUCUACAACUAAACAUUCAAAGUCUGACUUACAACAACAACAAACAGCUCCUCAAUAUGUUUCUAAUAAACAACGAAAUAGACAUUGCAAUCCUUUCGGAGAUCUGGGUUGUAAAUAAUGCGGACUGGAGUAUCUUAGAUUACAACUUCAUCGGCAAGCCCAGAGAAGACGGCUACGGCGGAGUAGGAAUCUAUAUUAGAAAGAAAAUUAGAUUUAGCAUUCUGAAAAUAGACUGUGAUCUGGAGAUCGUAGGUAUUAAGACCCUGAAACUAAACCAAAAACAACCUCAACAUUUUCAGCGCAUACACUUUCCCAAUUCAAAUCGGGCAUUAAAAAGGUGUUCGAGCUUGCGGAGUCCCUAGACUACCCUUCAGUCGUAGGAGGAGAUUUCAACGCCAAGUCUUCCAACUGGGGAAACCCUUCCAGUGACCGCAAGGGUCGCAGCAUCGAGAAUGCUACUCGUGAGGCAGACAGAUAAAAUCUGUCUUAACGACGGAUCUCCAACGUUUUCCAGGAACCCUUCCCAAUUCUCUGUUCUUGACCUCACCUUUUCUAAUCACAGGGUCGGUAGUACAUGAGUAAAACUGUAACAAGUUACAUAUCUCGAGGUGGCGAUUUCCACCUUGCAAAGGCGGGCGGCCAAAUAAUCCCCCUCUACCCAAGGGUAGAGCGGUAACAUAAAAACUCAAACAAAAAAAAAAAAAUAUGCACUAUACUAUCGAGUAUAACAUUAGGGAUGUAAUAGAAUACAAUUUGCUCCUUAUUAACUCGUUCUGUUGCAGAGAUUGCAGAUGAAUGUACCGGAACCCAUAAAGAUUCAUUCCUGUUUACUGGUCCUUCUGAUCAUUAUUUUGAUCUUUAUGUUUUAUUGGGAUAUAGAUAGAGCUUUUUGUGUGUACUGUGGGUGCAUUUAUCUUCACAGUAUAUUGGGAGAAUAGAUAAAAACAGAAGCUUCAAUAUAUCAAAUAUCGAAUGUAUUAAUCAGAAUUGGACGACUAUAUGCUAUACAGGCAUGGGCCAUUGGAACGAUA
Molecule: long non-coding RNA, 2882 nt
Filed under: Drosophila guanche
Lineage: Eukaryota; Metazoa; Arthropoda; Insecta; Diptera; Drosophilidae
Source: RNAcentral